This 253-nucleotide ribosomal RNA is filed under the name uncultured bacterium. RNAcentral's name for it is "partial 16S ribosomal RNA". It matches the Rfam family "Bacterial small subunit ribosomal RNA", at positions 524 to 776 of the family's 1533-position model. The record is from RNAcentral.
UACGUAGGGUGCAAGCGUUGUCCGGAAUUAUUGGGCGUAAAGAGCUCGUAGGCGGUCUGUUGCGUCGGCUGUGAAAACCCGGGGCUCAACUCCGGGCCUGCAGCCGAUACGGGCAGACUAGAGUUCGGCAGGGGAGACUGGAAUUCCUGGUGUAGCGGUGAAAUGCGCAGAUAUCAGGAGGAACACCGGUGGCGAAGGCGGGUCUCUGGACAGUUCCUGACGCUGAGGCACGAAGGCCAGGGGAGCAAACGGG